ACUCCUGCGGGAGGCAGCAGUGGGGAAUUUUGGACACUGGGCGAAAGCCUGAUCCAGCAAUGCCGCGUGAGUGAAGAAGGCCUUCGGGUUGUAAAGCUCUUUUGUCAGGGAAGAAACGGUGAAAGCUAAUAUCUUUUGCUAAUGACGGUACCUGAAGAAUAAGCACCGGCUAACUACGUGCCAGCAGCCGCGGUAAUACGUAGGGUGCAAGCGUUAAUCGGAAUUACUGGGCGUAAAGCGUGCGCAGGCGGUUUUGUAAGUCUGAUGUGAAAUCCCCGGGCUCAACCUGGGAAUUGCAUUGGAGACUGCAAGGCUAGAAUCUGGCAGAGGGGGGUAGAAUUCCACGUGUAGCAGUGAAAUGCGUAGAUAUGUGGAGGAACACCGAUGGCGAAGGCAGCCCCCUGGGUCAAGAUUGACGCUCAUGCACGAAAGCGUGGGGAGCAAACAGGAUUAGAAACCCUGGUAGUCCC
RNAcentral lists this ribosomal RNA (470 nucleotides) under uncultured organism. RNAcentral's name for it is "partial 16S ribosomal RNA". It matches the Rfam family "Bacterial small subunit ribosomal RNA", at positions 335 to 797 of the family's 1533-position model. The record is from RNAcentral.